GCAUUGGGGGGGUGCCUAUACAUGCAAGUAGAACGCUGAAGAGAGGAGCUUGCUCUUCUUGGAUGAGUUGCGAACGGGUGAGUAACGCGUAGGUAACCUGCCUUGUAGCGGGGGAUAACUAUUGGAAACGAUAGCUAAUACCGCAUAACAAUGGAUGACACAUGUCAUUUAUUUGAAAGGGGCAAUUGCUCCACUACAAGAUGGACCUGCGUUGUAUUAGCUAGUAGGUGAGGUAACGGCUCACCUAGGCGACGAUACAUAGCCGACCUGAGAGGGUGAUCGGCCACACUGGGACUGAGACACGGCCCAGACUCCUACGGGAGGCAGCAGUAGGGAAUCUUCGGCAAUGGGGGCAACCCUGACCGAGCAACGCCGCGUGAGUGAAGAAGGUUUUCGGAUCGUAAAGCUCUGUUGUAAGUCAAGAACGAGUGUGAGAGUGGAAAGUUCACACUGUGACGGUAGCUUACCAGAAAGGGACGGCUAACUACGUGCCAGCAGCCGCGGUAAUACGUAGGUCCCGAGCGUUGUCCGGAUUUAUUGGGCGUAAAGCGAGCGCAGGCGGUUUGAUAAGUCUGAAGUUAAAGGCUGUGGCUCAACCAUAGUUCGCUUUGGAAACUGUCAAACUUGAGUGCAGAAGGGGAGAGUGGAAUUCCAUGUGUAGCGGUGAAAUGCGUAGAUAUAUGGAGGAACACCGGUGGCGAAAGCGGCUCUCUGGUCUGUAACUGACGCUGAGGCUCGAAAGCGUGGGGAGCGAACAGGAUUAGAUACCCUGGUAGUCCACGCCGUAAACGAUGAGUGCUAGGUGUUGGAUCCUUUCCGGGAUUCAGUGCCGCAGCUAACGCAUUAAGCACUCCGCCUGGGGAGUACGACCGCAAGGUUGAAACUCAAAGGAAUUGACGGGGGCCCGCACAAGCGGUGGAGCAUGUGGUUUAAUUCGAAGCAACGCGAAGAACCUUACCAGGUCUUGACAUCCCGAUGCUAUUUCUAGAGAUAGAAAGUUACUUCGGUACAUCGGUGACAGGUGGUGCAUGGUUGUCGUCAGCUCGUGUCGUGAGAUGUUGGGUUAAGUCCCGCAACGAGCGCAACCCCUAUUGUUAGUUGCCAUCAUUCAGUUGGGCACUCUAGCGAGACUGCCGGUAAUAAACCGGAGGAAGGUGGGGAUGACGUCAAAUCAUCAUGCCCCUUAUGACCUGGGCUACACACGUGCUACAAUGGUUGGUACAACGAGUUGCGAGUCGGUGACGGCAAGCUAAUCUCUUAAAGCCAAUCUCAGUUCGGAUUGUAGGCUGCAACUCGCCUACAUGAAGUCGGAAUCGCUAGUAAUCGCGGAUCAGCACGCCGCGGUGAAUACGUUCCCGGGCCUUGUACACACCGCCCGUCACACCACGAGAGUUUGUAACACCCGAAGUCGGUGAGGUAACCUUUUGGAGCCAGCCGCCUAAGGGUGGAAAGAAGU
Molecule: ribosomal RNA, 1456 nt
Filed under: Streptococcus salivarius
Lineage: Bacteria; Bacillati; Bacillota; Bacilli; Lactobacillales; Streptococcaceae
Description: bacterial SSU rRNA
Rfam family: Bacterial small subunit ribosomal RNA
Source: RNAcentral